UAAAGAUGUGGUUCUGUGUUGUAGGACCAGUGGAGGGUUUGUGGCUUUAAGCCCCAUAUCACCACAGGAGCUGUUAUUGCAGCCCAUGACCCACCGUACAGACAGCAGUGAAGACUACGAUGCCUCUCAGGUUGAUGAAUCAGGGUUGAAUGGCAUGUGGGGGGAUGAUCGCCCACCUGAACAUGCAUUCAGAACCAGACACAAGAGCUACAAAGCUGCAGUGUCCCACUCAGACCAGACACAGUACAUGGAAAAGGUGCGAGGACGACCAAAAGAACAACGGUUCUUACUUUCCCCGGAUAACUCCAACUCAAAAUCUCGUUCCCGCUCUCCCAGUGAGGAGCGCAUGCAUGGGGUCACCAGACAGGUAAACAAACAGCUCAAAUAUCUAUUUGUAAAGGUUGUUUCGCAUGACCUCU
RNAcentral lists this long non-coding RNA (419 nucleotides) under Sinocyclocheilus grahami. RNAcentral's name for it is "lncRNA (ENSSGRG00000040915.1)". The record is from RNAcentral. Lineage: Eukaryota; Metazoa; Chordata; Actinopteri; Cypriniformes; Cyprinidae.